Molecule: ribosomal RNA, 925 nt
Filed under: Coriolopsis sanguinaria
Lineage: Eukaryota; Fungi; Basidiomycota; Agaricomycetes; Polyporales; Polyporaceae
Description: eukaryotic LSU rRNA
Rfam family: Eukaryotic large subunit ribosomal RNA
Source: RNAcentral
AGCGGAGGAAAAGAAACUAACAAGGAUUCCCCUAGUAACUGCGAGUGAAGCGGGAAAAGCUCAAAUUUAAAAUCUGGCGGUCUUUGGCCGUCCGAGUUGUAGUCUGGAGAAGUGCUUUCCGCGCUGGACCGUGUAUAAGUCUCUUGGAACAGAGCGUCAUAGAGGGUGAGAAUCCCGUCUUUGACACGGACUACCAGUGCUUUGUGAUGCGCUCUCGAAGAGUCGAGUUGUUUGGGAAUGCAGCUCAAAAUGGGUGGUAAAUUCCAUCUAAAGCUAAAUAUUGGCGAGAGACCGAUAGCGAACAAGUACCGUGAGGGAAAGAUGAAAAGCACUUUGGAAAGAGAGUUAAACAGUACGUGAAAUUGCUGAAAGGGAAACGCUUGAAGUCAGUCGCGUCUGCCGGAACUCAGCCUUGCUUUUGCUUGGUGCAUUUUCUGGUAGACGGGCCAGCAUCGAUUUUGACCGUCGGAAAAGGGCUAGAGAAAUGUGGCACCUUCGGGUGUGUUAUAGUCUCUGGUCGCAUACGGCGGUUGGGAUCGAGGAACGCAGCGCGCCGCAAGGCAGGGGUUCGCCCACUUUCGCGCUUAGGAUGCUGGCGUAAUGGCUUUAAACGACCCGUCUUGAAACACGGACCAAGGAGUCUAACAUGCCUGCGAGUGUUUGGGUGGUAAACCCGAGCGCGUAAUGAAAGUGAAAGUUGAGACCUCUGUCGUGGAGGGCAUCGACGCCCGGACCUGACGUUCUCUGACGGAUCCGCGGUAGAGCAUGUAUGUUGGGACCCGAAAGAUGGUGAACUAUGCCUGAAUAGGGUGAAGCCAGAGGAAACUCUGGUGGAGGCUCGUAGCGAUUCUGACGUGCAAAUCGAUCGUCAAAUUUGGGUAUAGGGGCGAAAGACUAAUCGAACCAUCUAGUAGCUGGUUCCUGC